This 246-nucleotide non-coding RNA is filed under the name Listeria grayi. Its description in RNAcentral is "T-box sequence". It matches the Rfam family "T-box leader". Rfam says of the family: Uncharged tRNA acts as the effector for transcription antitermination of genes in the T-box leader family. T-boxes are found upstream of many aminoacyl-tRNA synthetase genes and some amino acid biosynthetic genes usually in Gram-positive bacteria. Lineage: Bacteria; Bacillati; Bacillota; Bacilli; Caryophanales; Listeriaceae. The record is from RNAcentral.
CUUUGACCAGAGACGAAGAAAAGUAAGAAACUUUUUCCAUUAUAGAGAGUUGGACCCUUAGGCUGGAAGGUCCAUGAAUGUGAUGGUUUCCGAAAGACACUUCAGAGGUUUUCUGUUGAAAGCUUUCUAUUAGAGAGCUGUGUAAACAGAAACGUAUUACCGGCGUUAACGGAAUUCAAGUGAGGAUCAAACAGGAUCCUAAUUAGGGUGGUACCACGGGUGUAUAGUCAAACUCUCGUCCCUUGU